UACAGAGGGUGCGAGCGUUAAUCGGAAUUACUGGGCGUAAAGCGUGCGUAGACGGUUAUUUAAGUCGGAUGUGAAAGCCCCGGGCUCAACCUGGGAAUUGCAUUCGAGACUGAAUAGCUAGGGUACGGUAGAGGGAAGUGGAAUUUCCAGUGUAGCGGUGAAAUGCGUAGAUAUUGGAAGGAACAUCGGUGGCGAAGGCGACCUUCUGGACAACGACUGACACUGAGGCACGAAAGCGUGGGUAGCAAACAGG
RNAcentral lists this ribosomal RNA (253 nucleotides) under uncultured bacterium. RNAcentral describes it as "partial 16S ribosomal RNA". It matches the Rfam family "Bacterial small subunit ribosomal RNA", at positions 524 to 776 of the family's 1533-position model. The record is from RNAcentral.